Molecule: ribosomal RNA, 471 nt
Filed under: uncultured organism
Description: partial 16S ribosomal RNA
Rfam family: Bacterial small subunit ribosomal RNA
Source: RNAcentral
CACUCCUACGGGAGGCAGCAGUGGGGAAUUUUGGACAAUUGGCGAAAGCCUGAUCCAGCAAUGCCGCGUGAGUGAAGAAGGCCUUCGGGUUGUAAAGCUCUUUUGUCAGGGAAGAAACGGUGAAAGCUAAUAUCUUUUGCUAAUGACGGUACCUGAAGAAUAAGCACCGGCUAACUACGUGCCAGCAGCCGCGGUAAUACGUAGGGUGCAAGCGUUAAUCGGAAUUACUGGGCGUAAAGCGUGCGCAGGCGGUUUUGUAAGUCUGAUGUGAAAUCCCCGGGCUCAACCUGGGAAUUGCAUUGGAGACUGCAAGGCUAGAAUCUGGCAGAGGGGGGUAGAAUUCCACGUGUAGCAGUGAAAUGCGUAGAUACGUGGAGGAACACCGAUGGCGAAGGCAGCCCCCUGGGUCAAGAUUGACGCUCAUGCACGAAAGCGUGGGGAGCAAACAGGAUUAGAAACCCUAGUAGUCCC